Non-coding RNA from Giardia lamblia ATCC 50803, 74 nucleotides. The record is from Rfam. Lineage: Eukaryota; Fornicata; Diplomonadida; Hexamitidae.
GCCGAAUUAGCUCAGUUGGCUAGAGCGCGACACUAGUAAUGUCGAGGUCACGGUUUCGAGCACCGUAUUCGGCU